CCCUGCCAUUUGUACACACCGCCCGUCGUUGUUUCCGAUGAUGGUGCAAUACAGGUGAUCGGACCUGCGGACUCUGUCUUGCGGGGAAGUUCACCGAUAUUUCUUCAUUAGAGGAAGUAAAAGUCGUAACAAGG
This 134-nucleotide ribosomal RNA is filed under the name uncultured eukaryote. RNAcentral's name for it is "partial small subunit ribosomal RNA". It matches the Rfam family "Eukaryotic small subunit ribosomal RNA", at positions 1651 to 1799 of the family's 1831-position model. The record is from RNAcentral.